UAAAUGUAGUCUCUUUGAACCCAUAAAUUUAGUACAAAACCUACUAACAUUAUACCAUGAAUAUAUUUUCUUUGUAAACCUGGCUUAUCAAGGAAAUAAUUUAAAUCUGUGAGUAGAUAAUGUUAAAGUAAACUGGUUUAAAAGUGACUAAUUCAAUAAAUUAGUAUCAAAUAUAUAAAAAUGAUCUAAAUUUGACGUUUAGAAAAAAUUCACAUUGAUUUUUGUAUAUAAAUAACAUCUAUACUUUCUCAGAAAUGCUUUUCUUUAAGCUAUGGAUUCUCUGUAUUCUUCAAUUUAUGAAAUUGAAAAAUAUAAUAUGAAGUCAUACAAGGUGUUUAUUUCUAGGAAGAUGGAUGUUUUGAAAGCUACCGCAGAACAAAUUUCUUCUCAAACUGGAAAUAAGGUUCAUGCAAUUCAGUGUGAUGUGAGGGAUCCUGAUAUGGUUCAAAACACUGUGUCAGAACUGAUCAAAGUUGCAGGACAUCCUAAUAUUGUGAUAAACAAUGCAGCAGGGAAUUUUAUUUCUCCUACUGAAAGACUUUCUCCUAAUGCUUGGAAAACCAUAACUGACAUAGUUCUAAAUGGCACAGCCUUCGUGACACUAGAAAUUGGAAAACAACUAAUUAAAGCACAGAAAGGAGCAGCAUUUCUUUCUAUUACUACUAUCUAUGCUGAGACU
This 679-nucleotide small RNA is filed under the name Pan troglodytes (chimpanzee). Its description in RNAcentral is "processed transcript". Lineage: Eukaryota; Metazoa; Chordata; Mammalia; Primates; Hominidae. The record is from RNAcentral.